This 790-nucleotide ribosomal RNA is filed under the name uncultured bacterium. Its description in RNAcentral is "bacterial SSU rRNA". It matches the Rfam family "Bacterial small subunit ribosomal RNA", at positions 8 to 794 of the family's 1533-position model. The record is from RNAcentral.
AGAGUUUGAUCAUGGCUCAGAUUGGACGCUGGCGGCAGGCCUAACACAUGCAAGUCGAGCGGUAGAGAGAAGCUUGCUUCUCUUGAGAGCGGCGGACGGGUGAGUAAUGCCUAGGAAUCUGCCUGGUAGUGGGGGAUAACGUCCGGAAACGGACGCUAAUACCGCAUACGUCCUACGGGGGAAAGCAGGGGACCUUCGGGCCUUGCGCUAUCAGAUGAGCCUAGGUCGGAUUAGCUAGUUGGUGGGGUAAUGGCUCACCAAGGCGACGAUCCGUAACUGGUCUGAGAGGAUGAUCAGUCACACUGGAACUGAGACACGGUCCAGACUCCUACGGGAGGCAGCAGUGGGGAAUAUUGGACAAUGGGCGAAAGCCUGAUCCAGCCAUGCCGCGUGUGUGAAGAAGGUCUUCGGAUUGUAAAGCACUUUAAGUUGGGAGGAAGGGCAGUAAAUUAAUACUUUGCUGUUUUGACGUUACCGACAGAAUAAGCACCGGCUAACUCUGUGCCAGCAGCCGCGGUAAUACAGAGGGUGCAAGCGUUAAUCGGAAUUACUGGGCGUAAAGCGCGCGUAGGUGGUUCGUUAAGUUGGAUGUGAAAUCCCCGGGCUCAACCUGGGAACUGCAUUCAAAACUGACGAGCUAGAGUAUGGUAGAGGGUGGUGGAAUUUCCUGUGUAGCGGUGAAUGCGUAGAUAUAGGAAGGAACACCAGUGGCGAAGGCGACCACCUGGACUGAUACUGACACUGAGGUGCGAAAGCGUGGGGAGCAAACAGGAUUAGAUACCCCGGUAGU